GACGAACGCUGGCGGCAUGCCUAACACAUGCAAGUCGAACGGAACCUUCGGGUCUAUGGGCGCACGGGGGCGUAACGCGUGGUAACCUGCCCGUAGGUUCGGUAUACCUCACCGAGAGAGAUGCUAAUACCGGAUAAUCUCUUCGCAGCAAAGAUUUAUCGCCUUUGGAUGGGCCCGCGUGGGAUUAGCUAGUUGGUAGGGUAAAAGCCUACCAUGGGGACGAUGCAUAGCUGGUCUGAGAGGAUGAUCAGCCACACUGGGACUGAGACACGGCCUAGAAUCGUACGCGAGGCAGCAGUGGGGUAUAUUGGACAAUGGGCGAAAGUGUGAUCCAGCAAUGCCGGGUGAGUGAUGCAGGCCGUAGGGUUGUAAAGCUGCUUUACCCGGGAUGAUAAUGACAGUACCGGGAGAAUAAGCACCGGCUAACUACGUG
RNAcentral lists this ribosomal RNA (433 nucleotides) under uncultured bacterium. RNAcentral's name for it is "partial 16S ribosomal RNA". It matches the Rfam family "Bacterial small subunit ribosomal RNA", at positions 28 to 507 of the family's 1533-position model. The record is from RNAcentral.